AAGUGAGGACAUGUUUGCGUCCGCCUGUCUUGUGCAACGUUUAUUGUGGAAUUCUGGCACAUUUUGUGUGUGCCAGAUGCCAUUUUUUAAUCCAUUUCAUUUUAUUACUGUAUUCUAACGACAAUCAAAAAGAACCUUGA
This 140-nucleotide unclassified non-coding RNA is filed under the name soil metagenome. RNAcentral describes it as "partial internal transcribed spacer 1". The record is from RNAcentral.